AGAGUUUGAUUCUGGCUCAGAACGAACGCUGGCGGCAGGCUUAACACAUGCAAGUCGAACGGAACAUAGGGUGCUUGCACUUUAUGUCAGUGGCGCACGGGUGAGUAACGCGUAGGAACCUGCUUUUAGCCUGGGAUAGCCUCUGGAAACGGAGGGUAAAACCGGAUGAGCCCUGAGGGGGAAAUGAGUAAUCAGCUGAAGGAGGGGCCUGCGUUAGAUUAGGCAGUUGGUGGGGUAACGGCCUACCAAACCGACGAUCUAUAGCUGGUCUGAGAGGAUGAUCAGCCACAUUGGGACUGAGACACGGCCCAAACUCCUACGGGAGGCAGCAGUGGGGAAUAUUGGACAAUGGGGGAGACCCUGAUCCAGCCAUGCCCGCGUGAGUGAUGACGGCCUUCGGGUUGUAAAGCUCUUUUACAUGGGAAGAUGAUGACGGUUACCAUGAGAAUAAGCACCGGCAAACUUCGUGCCAGCAGCUGC
This 480-nucleotide ribosomal RNA is filed under the name uncultured bacterium. RNAcentral describes it as "bacterial SSU rRNA". It matches the Rfam family "Bacterial small subunit ribosomal RNA", at positions 8 to 518 of the family's 1533-position model. The record is from RNAcentral.